AGAGUUUGAUCCUGGCUCAGGAUGAACGCUAGCGGGAGGCCUAAUACAUGCAAGUCGAGCGGUAGAAAGACUUCGGUUUUUUGAGAGCGGCGUACGGGUGAGUAACGCGUACACAAUCUACCUUCAAGAGGGGAAUAGCCCUGGGAAACUGGGAUUAAUGCCCCAUAGCAUUAUUGACUGGCAUCGGUUAAUAAUUAAAGCUGAGGUGCUUGGAGAUGAGUGUGCGUCUGAUUAGCUAGUUGGUGAGGUAACGGCCCACCAAGGCUACGAUCAGUAGGGGGCGUGAGAGCGUGGACCCCCACACGGGUACUGAGACACGGACCCGACUCCUACGGGAGGCAGCAGUAAGGAAUAUUGGUCAAUGGAGGAAACUCUGAACCAGCCAUCCCGCGUGUAGGAAGAAGGCCCUCUGGGUUGUAAACUACUUUUAUCUGGGAAGAAAAGCCAUUAUUUAUGAUGGUCUGACGGUACCAGAGGAAUAAGCACCGGCUAACUCCGUGCCAGCAGCCGCGGUAAUACGGAGGGUGCAAGCGUUAUCCGGAAUUACUGGGUUUAAAGGGUGCGUAGGCGGCGCUGUAAGUCAGGGGUGAAAGGUUCCGGCUCAACCGGAGAAUUGCCUUUGAUACUGCAGUGCUAGGAUUGGGUUGAGGUUGGCGGAAUGUGACAUGUAGCGGUGAAAUGCAUAGAUAUGUCAUAGAACACCGAUUGCGAAGGCAGCCAACUGGACCUUGAUUGACGCUGAGGCACGAAAGCGUGGGGAGCAAACAGGAUUAGAUACCCUGGUAGUCCACGCCCUAAACGAUGCUAACUCGAUGUGUGGCCCUAGAGGUUGCGCGUCCAAGCGAAAGCGAUAAGUAGCCCCCUGGA
Molecule: ribosomal RNA, 867 nt
Filed under: uncultured bacterium
Lineage: Bacteria
Description: bacterial SSU rRNA
Rfam family: Bacterial small subunit ribosomal RNA
Source: RNAcentral